This 403-nucleotide ribosomal RNA is filed under the name bacterium. RNAcentral's name for it is "partial 16S ribosomal RNA". It matches the Rfam family "Bacterial small subunit ribosomal RNA", at positions 355 to 776 of the family's 1533-position model. The record is from RNAcentral.
UGGGGAAUAUUGCACAAUGGGGGAAACCCUGAUGCAGCGACGCCGCGUGAACGAAGAAGGUAUUCGUAUCGUAAAGUUCUGUCCUAUGGGAAGAUAAUGACAGUACCAUAGAAGAAAGCUCCGGCUAAAUACGUGCCAGCAGCCGCGGUAAUACGUAUGGAGCGAGCGUUGUCCGGAAUUAUUGGGCGUAAAGGGUACGCAGACGGUUUAAUAAGUCGAAUGUUAAAGAUCGGGGCUCAACCCCGCAAAGCAUUGGAAACUGAUAAACUUGAGUAGUGGAGAGGAAAGUGGAAUUCCUAGUGUAGUGGUGAAAUACGUAGAUAUUAGGAGGAAUACCAGUAGCGAAGGCGACUUUCUGGACACAAACUGACGCUGAGGUACGAAAGCGUGGGGAGCAAACAGG